Molecule: long non-coding RNA, 341 nt
Organism: Xenia sp. Carnegie-2017
Lineage: Eukaryota; Metazoa; Cnidaria; Anthozoa; Malacalcyonacea; Xeniidae
Exons: 4
Source: RefSeq, a predicted model, not a curated record
GAGAUCCUGAUCCAAAAUGUCCUGAAGAUCAAGAAAAAUUGAGCCGAAAUGAUGUUUUCCCUGAUGCUUUUACGAAACGUGAGUUGAAAAGUAUUCGUUUACAUUGUCCUUCUGAACAAUGUGAAUGGUUUGGCUCCUACGAAGAAUUGGAAGGUCAUUCUCAAGUUUGUGAGCAUGCGCUCAUCAGCUGUGUUCACAAGCAGUGUAACAUUCAGUUACCUCGCUCUCUCCUUGGUGAACAUUUGAAGAAUGAAUGUGACUAUCGCAAUGUGAAAUGUGAACAUUGUGGUAAAGAUGUCUCGCAUGCUUUACUUAAGCUCUGUUCAAAAUUAUUCGUCUCC